This 305-nucleotide ribosomal RNA is filed under the name uncultured bacterium. RNAcentral's name for it is "bacterial SSU rRNA". It matches the Rfam family "Bacterial small subunit ribosomal RNA", at positions 337 to 639 of the family's 1533-position model. The record is from RNAcentral.
ACCUACGGGAGGCAGCAGUGAGGAAUAUUGGUCAAUGGGCGGGAGCCUGAACCAGCCAAGUCGCGUGAGGGAAGACAAUCCUAUGGAUUGUAAACCUCUUUAGGCGGGGAGCAAGGCCGCCGACGUGUCGGCGGAAGGAGAGUACCCGUAGAACAAGCAUCGGCUAACUCCGUGCCAGCAGCCGCGGUAAUACGGAGGAUGCGAGCGUUAUCCGGAUUUAUUGGGUUUAAAGGGUGCGCAGGCGGCACGGCAAGCCGGCGGUCAAAUCGCGGGGCUCAACCCCGCCCAGCCGUCGGAACUGCCGG